Passer domesticus (house sparrow) is the source of this 720-nucleotide long non-coding RNA. RefSeq lists it as uncharacterized. The record is from RefSeq and is a predicted model, not a curated record. Lineage: Eukaryota; Metazoa; Chordata; Aves; Passeriformes; Passeridae. The transcript is spliced from 3 exons.
UGAGGAGGUGGCACAUGUCCUGCUCUCCCCCAAAACCAAGAAUUGAUGGGAAAGUUCAGGCCCAGCUCUGAGCACAUCCAGCAUGGCCUGGGCAUGGGAAUAGUGGGGCAAAACCAACAGGAGCCUUCUCCAGCUGACGGGCAGUUUCUGGUUUCUCUCCCCAGAGUGCCAAAAUCUGAUCGGGUGGUGUUUAUCCAUGCACCCCUUGGCCAGACCCUCAUUAGAAGAGGUGUUCAGUCAUCCUUGGAUGCAGGAUAUUCCUCUGCCCUAGAAGAAGGGAGAAAGCCACAGGCACACUUUGAUCCAGGGCCCUGGGAAGGAGAAGGAGCCCCUGGAGAAGGUGUACCAGGUGGGACUGCUGCUGCAGGAGACAGCGAGGAUGACAUGAAGGAUGACAACCUCUUCCUCAACCUGGCCACCAGCAGUUGAAGAGGAAGCAUUCUAGGUGGUCCAGUCUGGAUUGGGAAGUGCUUGGGACCAGCUGCAGCGUGGAUGGGCCGUGCCCUUGGAGCAGGCUGAGGACAUCGUUUGGGACCAGCUUUUCUUCCAGCCGUGGAUGGCGUGAGGUGGGUGCCCGUCUGCUUGGCAGGGUGGGAUCAGAGCUUUUGGGAGAUGGCAGCGAGCACAGGAGCAUCCUGCUCUGGGCAGCUGCUGAGGGCUGGAUGUGCCAUGGCUGGCUGCAGGCUGGGCACAUGUCCUGCCCUCCUGCCCUGCUCCCAA